Molecule: long non-coding RNA, 1213 nt
Organism: Brassica napus (rape)
Lineage: Eukaryota; Viridiplantae; Streptophyta; Magnoliopsida; Brassicales; Brassicaceae
Exons: 3
Source: RefSeq, a predicted model, not a curated record
CGACUUUGUCUCUUAACCUACCAAAAACAUUUGGGCCUAAAUACCUGAAUUACAUAUAAUGGGCCUUUUUUGACAAGAAGCUCGUUUAUCUAAAAAGAGAGCGAAAUCAAAAUCUUUUUUGUUUCGUCUUCUUCCUCCCCAAGAGACAACUACAAGUCUUAAACCCUAAAGAAGCACUAUGAAGGAUCGAAUCUGAUAGUUUGGAGAUGAGUUUUCUGCUUCGUCUUCCUCAAACCCACCUGCGGAAAAUGUCAGUGCUCAUGGGCUCGAACCAGUUCCUCGGCUUUUGUCUUCUUCGUUCUUGUGGUAGUCAAAGGCAGCAGCUAUCUAUCUUCCGUUUAUAAAAGAUUUCGUCCGGUUUUAGCCUCGACACCCGUGUCCAAAACUUCAGAUUUGUGUCUGGAAAGUUCGAAACAAGGUUGCAGGACAAAUUGGUGAUGCGUACUUGUGUUACGACAGAAACUAGCUGAAGUUGUUCUGAAGUAGUCAAGAGUUUUGAUUAAAGAGGUCCACUCAUAAAACUCAGAGGAACUUGGUUCAGUAAUGAAAGGUUAACUGGUUUAUUCUCAGACUCUCUCCUAUAACACCUGAGAAGAAGCCUGAGAGGAGAUCAAACAGACGGCCAUGAGCUAGUUUGGUGAGUUGACGGACAGCUUAACACAUUGGGACAUUGACGUAUCGAUAACAUUUGUCUCCUAAUUUUUUAUUCCUUUUGGUGAGGCAAAAGAUCUUUUUGUGAGAUUCUUACUUACCUUUUGUAACAAUUAACAGACUGUCUAUGUGUGUGUAAUGUGGGGAUGGUUUCCUUGUUCUGUCUGGUGGGUCUGAUGCAAAAAAAAAAAACGUGACUAUAGAUUUGGUUUUUGUACAGCUCGAUCUGGUGAUCUUUUGUGCUCUGUCUCUUUGUGUAGCUUGUUCUGUUUCUCUCUGUCUCUUGUCUGUCUCCUUUUGCUGCGGCUGAUUUCGCGGGAUGAAUUAGCUGUAACUAUUGACUUGUAACAAAUUCUGUGUUAACAAUUAUGCAACUCUUUUUGCCAAUUUGCUUCAAUCAUUUCUACUAAUUAGUUGCGGCGGUGCACUAUAAAUGUCAUCUUAUAAUCAUUGGAAGGUCAUUAAUAUUAGAUGAGAUGCGAAUAUAUUUUUCCGGGUCAAAGAUAUACUUGACCAAACUUAUUGUCAUCUUCUAAUUAUUAAUAUCUGUCUUUAAUGUAAA